This 60-nucleotide transfer RNA is filed under the name Dipodomys ordii (Ord's kangaroo rat). It matches the Rfam family "tRNA", at positions 7 to 64 of the family's 71-position model. From Rfam's summary of the family: Transfer RNA (tRNA) molecules are approximately 80 nucleotides in length. Their secondary structure includes four short double-helical elements and three loops (D, anti-codon, and T loops). The record is from Rfam by way of RNAcentral. Lineage: Eukaryota; Metazoa; Chordata; Mammalia; Rodentia; Heteromyidae.
GUGGCUCAAUGGUGGAGUACUUGCUUUGCAUGCAUGAGGUCCUGGGUUCGAUUCCUCAGC